This is a non-coding RNA of Danio rerio (zebrafish), 84 nucleotides long. The record is from Rfam. NCBI's taxonomy places the organism in Eukaryota, Metazoa, Chordata, Actinopteri, Cypriniformes, Danionidae.
AGCCGGCGCUGAGAGGCGGAGACUUGGGCAGCUGCCGUCAUUCCCAGAAGGCAUUGCACUUGUCUCGGUCUGACAGUGGCGGCA